GAUGAACGCUGGCGGCGUGCCUAAUACAUGCAAGUCGAGCGAACAGACGAGGAGCUUGCUCCUUUGACGUUAGCGGCGGACGGGUGAGUAACACGUGGAUAACCUACCUAUAAGACUGGGAUAACUUCGGGAAACCGGAGCUAAUACCGGAUAACAUGUUGAACCGCAUGGUUCAACAGUGAAAGACGGUCUUGCUGUCACUUAUAGAUGGAUCCGCGCCGCAUUAGCUAGUUGGUAAGGUAACGGCUUACCAAGGCAACGAUGCGUAGCCGACCUGAGAGGGUGAUAGGCCACACUGGAACUGAGACACGGUCCAGACUCCUACGGGAGGCAGCAGUAGGGAAUCUUCCGCAAUGGGCGAAAGCCUGACGGAGCAACGCCGCGUGAGUGAAGAAGGUCUUCGGAUCGUAAAACUCUGUUAUUAGGGAAGAACAAAUGUGUAAGUAACUAUGCACGUCUUGACGGUACCUAAUCAGAAAGCCACGGCUAACUACGUG
Molecule: ribosomal RNA, 497 nt
Filed under: uncultured bacterium
Lineage: Bacteria
Description: partial 16S ribosomal RNA
Rfam family: Bacterial small subunit ribosomal RNA
Source: RNAcentral